This 1134-nucleotide ribosomal RNA is filed under the name Triticum aestivum (bread wheat). RNAcentral's name for it is "partial small subunit ribosomal RNA". The record is from RNAcentral. Lineage: Eukaryota; Viridiplantae; Streptophyta; Magnoliopsida; Poales; Poaceae.
AUGACGAUGGAGACCAUAGCGGGGACUCACUUCUUGAUCUUCACCUCCCUACUUGAGGUCCUGCAAAAGCGUGCUCAAGGGCAUGUUCACCUAUUUGUGGAAGAGACGGAUAAGGAGUUGGAGCUCCGUUUUUUGGCUCAGCUCACACAGACGCACGCUUCCCUUGCGGCUCCCCCCUCCGCCUCGGAUGUCCACUUCCUAUUUGACUACGGCAUAGGUUACUUUCUUGGAAGAUCAGUUCCACUUGAUGAAUGGAAAAUUAGUUUACUCCUCGUCCGCAGCAAAGCCCUCUCCUUCAGGAGCAGACGCAUCGACCAUUUCUGCCUCGAAUACUUGGAGCACAAGGUCGAGGAGCAUCCCCAACGCACCAACGUCUGUGCCAUCCUUCGCAGCCACGGCAUCAACCUCCACGACGAUGGAGACCAUAGAUCCUCUCAAUGGGACCCAAGAAUGCCAGUGAGUCACUUUGGCAAGGAUCCUGGUGUGUCGCACAGUCACACCAAGUCGUAUGUGCGCUCCAAGGAAAGGAAGUUUGAGAAGGCUUGUGGUAGGAGGAACAGGGGUGGCUUCAAGAUCCUCUUGAGGGGACCCAAGAAUGCUCGUGAGGCGGUGAGGCACUUUGGCAAGGCUCCUGGCGUGCCGCACAAACCACAUCAAGAUCUGCAGAUCCAUGGCCCGCUGGAGCUGCCCAUCUUCAGCAACUUGCCGCCACAUACAGCCCCCGCCCCCGCGUCGGCUACGUUGACUUCCACAAGGUGGUUGAGAUGCAGCCCAAUAUGUCUUCACCUUGAACCACGAGCAACACCGCAGAUUGGGUGCUCUUUGCUACCAGCUGGUGAAAGGAAAAGCUGCUCCGACUGGCGAGGAUGCCCACAAAGGUGGCCUCUUCCGACGACUUUUGCCCUGUUCCUCUGGUGGCCUCGAUUAUUCUUCCUCCCCGGCAUAGGUGCUGCAGAUCCACGGCCCGCAAGAGCCGCCCAUCUUUGGCAACUCGCCGCCAUCUACAGCUUCCCCCGCUGCUGCGUUGACUUACACAAGGUGCGGCACCGCAGGUUUUGUGCUAUUUGCUACCAUCUGGUGAAAGGAAAAGCCGCUCCGAUCUGUGAGGAUGCCCACCAAGGUGGCCUCUCUUGA